Molecule: ribosomal RNA, 451 nt
Filed under: uncultured bacterium
Lineage: Bacteria
Description: bacterial SSU rRNA
Rfam family: Bacterial small subunit ribosomal RNA
Source: RNAcentral
AACGAACGCUGGCGGCAGGCCUAACACAUGCAAGUCGAACGCUCGUAGCAAUACGGGAGUGGCAGACGGGUGCGUAACGCGUGGGAACAUACCCUUUGGUUCGGAAUAACUCAGGGAAACUUGAGCUAAUACCGGAUACGCCCGAGAGGGGAAAGAUUUAUUGCCGAAGGAUUGGCCCGCGUCUGAUUAGCUAGUUGGUAGGGUAACGGCCUACCAAGGCGACGAUCAGUAGCUGGUCUGAGAGGAUGAUCAGCCACACUGGGACUGAGACACGGCCCAGACUCCUACGGGAGGCAGCAGUGGGGAAUAUUGGACAAUGGGCGCAAGCCUGAUCCAGCCAUGCCGCGUGAGUGAUGACGGCCUUAGGGUUGUAAAGCUCUUUUACCUGGGAAGAUAAUGACGGUACCAGGAGAAUAAGCCCGGCUAACUUCGUGCCAGCAGCCGCGGUAAU